UCUGGCUUGUCGCCGGCGGUCCCUCUAGAGUGCCCAACUGAAUGAUGGCAACUAAAGGCGAGGGUUGCGCUCGUUGCGGGACUUAACCCAACAUCUCACGACACGAGCUGACGACAGCCAUGCAGCACCUGUCUCUGAGUCCCUUGCGGGAAAACUCCUAUUAGGGAGCGGUCUCAGGAUGUCAAACCCUGGUAAGGUUCUGCGCGUUGCGUCGAAUUAAACCACAUGUUCCACCGCUUGUGCGGACCCCCGUCAAUUCUUUUAAGUUUUAGCCUUGCGACCAUACUCCCCAGGCGAAUCACUUAACGCGUUAGCUACGACACUGAUCCAGCUAAGCCGAACCAACAUCUAGUUCCCACCGUUUACGGCAUGGACUAC
This 378-nucleotide unclassified non-coding RNA is filed under the name uncultured Alphaproteobacteria bacterium. RNAcentral's name for it is "contains 16S-23S intergenic spacer region". The record is from RNAcentral. Lineage: Bacteria; Pseudomonadati; Pseudomonadota; Alphaproteobacteria.